Long non-coding RNA from Benincasa hispida (wax gourd), 897 nucleotides. RefSeq lists it as uncharacterized. The record is from RefSeq and is a predicted model, not a curated record. NCBI's taxonomy places the organism in Eukaryota, Viridiplantae, Streptophyta, Magnoliopsida, Cucurbitales, Cucurbitaceae.
CAAACCCUCUCUUCCCCUUAAGCGUAUCAAUCAUAUUCAGCAUUCGUGGGUUGUCUUUGUGUUGUUCGUGUACAGAUCCGACGUUUGCGGGUUGUCAUCAUGUUGUUCGUGUGCAGAUCAGGCUGUGCAGAUCGUGUUUUGGCAGAUUCGGCCGUGCAGAUCACGUUUCACCUGCAGAUCCAACGUUUACGUGCAAAUCUGACGGUCCAAAUCGUGUUUCACGUGCAGAUCCGACCAUGCAAAUCCAGCGUUCGCGGUUCUUCUUCCUCGUGAAAACGUCACUCCAUUUCCUCUGGAACCAGAUGCGACCAAUCGGAGUCCAAUGACAACCGCACCAGUAGUCAGACGCCAUGCCGCCAUCAAGAGCACUCACGAUCAGGCUCGUCCACGUCAGAUGCAUGCCCAGCUUUGGGUUCGCAUUGCUGUGGGUUUUUGCUUGGGUUUAACGUGCGUUCUGGGUGCAAGUAGUCCUCCUCCAUCGCCGUUUCGUGAGGUCGCCACCGGUGGAUCAUCAACUGUGCCAACUGGUGUGGGCGGUUUUGGUGAAGUUGAAGAUCAGAAUUAAGACUAGGGGCAACGGUUUCCAAGUGUACUGAGCUAAUGAAACAAAGACAAAGUGGAGAGGGAAAGUAACAUUGGCGAGGAAGUUGGGUGGUCAAAAAAUGUAGAAGUGGCAAAAGUGAAUCCAAAACUUCCAGCAAUGAACAAGAAAUUCGAGAUGAUUCAUGGCUUGUCAUCUCUUGCUAAUAUUAUGGCAUUUGGUAGUCUUGCAAUGCUCUCCUGGUAUUUGGCAGGUGGGAGAAUAGUCCCUAGCUCCAGAAAUUGACAUUAGAAAACUUUGGAAGGCAUCGUUGAACACUAUUCAUUUAUCUUCAGCUUAUUUUUAAUCAUUUUAAC